GACGAAGGAUGCAAGCGUUAUCCGGAUUCAUUGGGUUUAAAGGGCGCGUAGGCGGACUUAUAAGUCAGUGGUGAAAUCUCCUUGCUUAACAAGGAAACUGCCAUUGAUACUGUAGGUCUUGAGUACAGUUGCCGUUGGCGGAAUAUGACAUGUAGUGGUGAAAUACUUAGAUAUGUCAUAGAACACCGAUUGCGAAGGCAGCUAACGAAGCUGUAACUGACGCUGAGGCUCGAAAGUGCGGGGAUCAAACAGG
This 253-nucleotide ribosomal RNA is filed under the name uncultured bacterium. RNAcentral describes it as "partial 16S ribosomal RNA". It matches the Rfam family "Bacterial small subunit ribosomal RNA", at positions 524 to 776 of the family's 1533-position model. The record is from RNAcentral.